Microplitis demolitor is the source of this 515-nucleotide long non-coding RNA. RefSeq lists it as uncharacterized. The transcript is spliced from 3 exons. Lineage: Eukaryota; Metazoa; Arthropoda; Insecta; Hymenoptera; Braconidae. The record is from RefSeq and is a predicted model, not a curated record.
AAGAAGCUUGUGAAACUUCAGGAAACAACAAUCGGUAAUAAAUAGAAAUAAAAUCAGAAAAAUGUCGAAAAUAAUUUUAUUAUUAUCAAUUUUCGUAUUGGUUGUUAUCUAUCCUGGUGUAUAUGCAUCAUGUCCUGGCGGUUGGUGCCAUCCAGCACAAGGUUAUGGCUGUUGUGAAGGAAAUACAUGCUCUUCAUAUUAUUUUCAAGGUACAUGCAUAAUUGAUGAGGCAGCCGCUAUGUCGUUCGCAAUGGGAAUAUGAUUAUAACAAUUCAGUGAAAAUUUAUGAAUGUCCACGGAAAAAAAAAAUCUAAGCGUCGGUUGGCCCUGGUCACGGAUCAAAAUCAAGAUUUUAAUAAGUUUUGACUCAUGUAGCAAACAAUAAUAUUAUAAACAAUAACAUAAAAUAUUAUUGUUUAACUUUUCAACGCCGAUAUCUUUCGUUUUUUACCAUUUCUUCCUCCAACAAUAUGUUUUUCUCCGUGUAUUGUAUCAUUCAAUAAAAAUCGAUUGCU